This 77-nucleotide transfer RNA is filed under the name Bifidobacterium adolescentis. Its description in RNAcentral is "tRNA-Asp (GTC) (tRNA-Asp-GTC-1-1)". It matches the Rfam family "tRNA". Rfam says of the family: Transfer RNA (tRNA) molecules are approximately 80 nucleotides in length. Their secondary structure includes four short double-helical elements and three loops (D, anti-codon, and T loops). RNAcentral also lists the same sequence under 8 other names. Lineage: Bacteria; Bacillati; Actinomycetota; Actinomycetes; Bifidobacteriales; Bifidobacteriaceae. The record is from RNAcentral.
GGCCGCGUAGCUCAGUUGGUUAGAGCGCCGCCCUGUCACGGCGGAGGUCACCGGUUCAAGUCCGGCCGUGGUCGCCA